RNAcentral lists this long non-coding RNA (558 nucleotides) under Chloebia gouldiae (Gouldian finch). RNAcentral describes it as "Erythrura gouldiae (Gouldian finch) lncRNA (ENSEGOG00005003894.1)". The record is from RNAcentral. Lineage: Eukaryota; Metazoa; Chordata; Aves; Passeriformes; Passeridae.
CACAAUGCAAUCUGAAGGAAGUACACCCACUCCCUGAUGUUUUCCUUGGGAGCCAGAAAUGUGUGUGCAGCGGUUUUUUUUGGGGCAGUGGAGCCUGUGCCUGGUGCCUCCCAGGUGUGUGGACAGGGCUGCAGUUUUCAGACAGUCACUGCCUGGGUGAGUGGAGCAAAUGCUGAAGCAUUGAGAGUAAACCACUCCUGUAGAGCAGCAGAACCUGCCCAGAAGGAUGUUUCAUAGUGCAGCAAUUAACUGAUACACCAGGCUAUCAGGUGCCAAGGGGCUCUUUCCAUGGAGGAGGACAUCUGAAUCCAGGACAUUUAUUUUGCAUCUGAGGAGGUGCAGUGAUAACCAGAGAAAGGACUUUCCUACCCACUAAAUUUUGCUGCACAAAAAAGCUCAGAAUCCCACAAAACUGGUUAUCAGUCCUGUGUUAUUUGUUGAAAAAGAGGGAUAAAAGCACCCAGUGCUGUAAGAAAAUCAACUCAAGCAGGCAAAGACCCAAACUGUGAUUCCAGUAUAAUUUCUUGUGUUGAAUAAAACCUUGUGGGUCAGACUUCA